Molecule: long non-coding RNA, 745 nt
Organism: Cyprinus carpio carpio
Lineage: Eukaryota; Metazoa; Chordata; Actinopteri; Cypriniformes; Cyprinidae
Source: Ensembl
UUUCAUUUUAUUAUUUGUUUAGUUGUUCCCUGCUGACUUCAGGUGGGAUGAUUUCAGUCAAUCAGGAUCAGCUGGCAGGAAAGGUUACAAGAAGCCUUGCCAUUCCUAUUAGAUCAAUUCCAUCAGGACCGAACACCAGCAGGUGGCAGAUCUCGAAUAUGAAUCGAAGAGCCUUUUUUAUAUUUGUGCUCGAAAUUUGCUAUAAAGUGGUUUAGGUUAAGAGAAAAAGCAUUUUUGGAACCUUUCAGGAAACAGUAUUUAAUAGAACAAUUCUUUUGUUUCUGAACAUUCCAAUUCCUCUACAAAGAACCUUUUGUGUGACUGAAAGGUUUCACAGAUGUUAAAGGUUCUUCAAGGAACCAUAAAUGCCAAUAAAGAAACGUGGAUCAUGCACCUUCUUUAAUUGUGGCGAACCUACUGGGUCUUCUGGAUAUAAAAUGAGUAAGAGAGGAUGAAACUGAAAGUGUUUAGAAUUGUAUUCGUUUCCCUGGUGCGUAUCUGGUCAGACCUUGAAGUGAAAUGUCAGAGUGUAUAAGUCCAUUCUCACAGACACUUUCACGGUCUGUAGGCGCUUGUGAGGAAAAAACGCAUGCAGAGGUUGACAGUUCUGCUUACUGGAUUUGCCUGUGAGUCUGGGGAAUCAACUUAGACCUCCAGUUUAACAAGUUAAAUCAGUUCACCCAAAAAUAAAAAAAAGAUGCUGAAGAUUUGCUCACCCUCAAGCCAUCCAAGAUGUAGAUGAGUU